AGCGAACGCUGGCGGCAGGCUUAACACAUGCAAGUCGAGCGGGCACUUUCGGGUGUCAGCGGCGGACGGGUGAGUAACGCGUGGGAACGUGCCCUCUGGUUCGGAAUAACUCAGGGAAACUUGAGCUAAUACCGGAUACGCCCUUUUGGGGAAAGGCUUGCUGCCGGAGGAUCGGCCCGCGUCUGAUUAGCUAGUUGGUGAGGUAACGGCUCACCAAGGCGACGAUCAGUAGCUGGUCUGAGAGGAUGAUCAGCCACACUGGGACUGCGACACGGCCCAGACUCCUACGGGAGGCAGCAGUGGGGAAUAUUGUACAAUGGGCGCAAGCCUGAUCCAGCCAUGCCGCGUGAGUGAUGAAGGCCUUAGGGUUGUAAAGCUCUUUUAUCCGGGACGAUAAUGACGGUACCGGAGGAAUAAGCCCCGGCUAACUUCGUG
Molecule: ribosomal RNA, 435 nt
Filed under: uncultured bacterium
Lineage: Bacteria
Description: partial 16S ribosomal RNA
Rfam family: Bacterial small subunit ribosomal RNA
Source: RNAcentral